UACAGAGGGUGAGAGCGUUAAUCGGAAUUACUGGGCGUAGAGCGCGCGUAGGCGGCUUUGCAAGUCGAGUGUGAAAUCCCCAGGCUUAACCUGGGAACUGCAUUCGAGACUGCAUAGCUAGAGUAUGGGAGAGGGAAGUGGAAUUUCAGGUGUAGCGGUGAAAUGCGUAGAUAUCUGAAGGAGCAUCAGUGGCGAAAGCGACUUCCUGGACCAAUACUGACGCUCAUGUGCGAAAGCGUGGGGAGCAAACAGG
This 253-nucleotide ribosomal RNA is filed under the name uncultured bacterium. RNAcentral describes it as "partial 16S ribosomal RNA". It matches the Rfam family "Bacterial small subunit ribosomal RNA", at positions 524 to 776 of the family's 1533-position model. The record is from RNAcentral.